CUCAGGACGAACGCUGGCGGCGUGCCUAAUACAUGCAAGUCGAACGCUUCUUUCCUCCCGAGUGCUUGCACUCRAUUGGAAAGAGGAGUGGCGGACGGGUGAGUAACACGUGGGUAACCUACCCAUCAGAGGGGGAUAACACUUGGAAACAGGUGCUAAUACCGCAUAACAGUUUAUGCCGCAUGGCAUAAGAGUGAAAGGCGCUUUCGGGUGUCGCUGAUGGAUGGACCCGCGGUGCAUUAGCUAGUUGGUGAGGUAACGGCUCACCAAGGCCACGAUGCAUAGCCGACCUGAGAGGGUGAUCGGCCACACUGGGACUGAGACACGGCCCAGACUCCUACGGGAGGCAGCAGUAGGGAAUCUUCGGCAAUGGACGAAAGUCUGACCGAGCAACGCCGCGUGAGUGAAGAAGGUUUUCGGAUCGUAAAACUCUGUUGUUAGAGAAGAACAAGGACGUUAGUAACUGAACGUCCCCUGACGGUAUCUAACCAGAAAGCCACGGCUAACUACGUGCCAGCAGCCGCGGUAAUACGUAGGUGGCAAGCGUUGUCCGGAUUUAUUGGGCGUAAAGCGAGCGCAGGCGGUUUCUUAAGUCUGAUGUGAAAGCCCCCGGCUCAACCGGGGAGGGUCAUUGGAAACUGGGAGACUUGAGUGCAGAAGAGGAGAGUGGAAUUCCAUGUGUAGCGGUGAAAUGCGUAGAUAUAUGGAGGAACACCAGUGGCGAAGGCGGCUCUCUGGUCUGYAACUGACGCUGAGGCUCGAAAGCGUGGGGAGCAAACAGGAUUAGA
RNAcentral lists this ribosomal RNA (788 nucleotides) under Enterococcus faecalis. RNAcentral describes it as "bacterial SSU rRNA". It matches the Rfam family "Bacterial small subunit ribosomal RNA", at positions 23 to 782 of the family's 1533-position model. The record is from RNAcentral. Lineage: Bacteria; Bacillati; Bacillota; Bacilli; Lactobacillales; Enterococcaceae.